CCUACGGGAGGCAGCAGUGGGGAAUAUUGGGCAAUGGGCGCAAGCCUGACCCAGCAACGCCGCGUGAAGGAAGAAGGCUUUCGGGUUGUAAACUUCUUUUGUCAGGGAAGAGUAGAAGACGGUACCUGACGGAUAAGCCACGUCUAACUACGUGCCAGCAGCCGCGGUAAUACGUAGGUGGCAAGCGUUGUCCGGCUUUACUGGGUGUAAAGGGCGUGUAGCCGGGUUGACAAGUCAGAUGUGAAAUCCUGCGGCUUAACCGCAGAACUGCAUUUGAAACUGUUGGUCUUGAGUACUGGAGAGGCAGACGGAAUUCCUAGUGUAGCGGUGAAAUGCGUAGAGAUUAGGAGGAACACCAGUGGCGAAGGCGGUCUGCUGGACAGAAACUGACGGUGAGGUGCGAAAGCGUGGGGAGCAAACAGGAUUAGAUACCCCAGUAGUC
RNAcentral lists this ribosomal RNA (442 nucleotides) under uncultured bacterium. RNAcentral describes it as "partial 16S ribosomal RNA". It matches the Rfam family "Bacterial small subunit ribosomal RNA", at positions 338 to 795 of the family's 1533-position model. The record is from RNAcentral.